This 916-nucleotide long non-coding RNA is filed under the name Brassica napus (rape). RNAcentral describes it as "long non-coding RNA (BNAP_LNC002519)". The record is from RNAcentral. Lineage: Eukaryota; Viridiplantae; Streptophyta; Magnoliopsida; Brassicales; Brassicaceae.
UGAGUUGGUUGUCCACGUUUUUUUUUUCUUUUUCUAAGGAAAUUUAUCAACUUUUGAAACAUGGCAAUUGUCCAACAUUUACUGUUGCAUACAACUAUUUAUUUGCUAAUAAAUAAAUAAAUAUUUUCAAUAGUUAUAUACAUCAAUUCAUUUGUUUGUCAGUUUCACUAUAAAUUUUUUAUUUCUAUUCAGUUACUUAAAAUGAACCUUUUUAUAAUUUAAAUUGUUAAUUUUUGGUAAUUAAAAUUUGCAUCCAUAAAUUUAUUUUAUAAUAAGAGUUUUUUUGUUAUUAUACAUGUAUAUUUAGAUAUUUAUUAAUUUUAAUAGAUUUAAAUUUUCUCUAAUCUAUUUUAAUUAUUAUAUUAGUAGUAACUUUUAUUAUUUUUGUAUUUAUAAUUUUUAUUAAUUUAUAAUUAAUAUAAUUUAUAAAGUAAAAGCAUUACCAAUCAAUUUUAUUAAUUGUUAAAAUUCUUAUCUCUUAUACAUAUUCAAAGUAAUAUAUUUUUAUUCAAUAAUAAAUUAUUUUAAAUUAGUUUAAUAUUUUAUUUUUCUUUAAUAAAUACUUCAUUCUUUAUAUGUUUAUACAUUAAUUAUUUUAUUUAAAGCAUUACUGCAAUUUAUACUUCAAAAAAGUUACUAGUCAAUAUUUUUAAUAAAAUAGUAACUCUUAUUUUACUGCAAACUUACCGCAUAAGUCUACAGUUUUUACCACAUUAAUUUUACUGCAAAUUACAUCGAUUUGUAAUACAUACUGUAAAUCAACUCUAAUACUACAUGUCACCAAUAAGAGCAUCAAGCAUGAGUUUUAGCAUCAGAGAUAGUAAAUCAUAGUGUAUUGAUAGCCAAAAGUGAAAGCCUACGAGAAAUAAUAAAAGUCUAUAAGUAUAACUUGCUAUAUAAUAUAGCCACUCAAACA